AGAACUUAGCAGAGAUGCUUUGGUGCCUUCGGGAACUCUGAGACAGGUGCUGCAUGGCUGUCGUCAGCUCGUGUUGUGAAAUGUUGGGUUAAGUCCCGCAACGAGCGCAACCCUUAUCCUUUGUUGCCAGCGGUUAGCCGGGAACUCAAAGGAGACUGCCAGUGAUAAACUGGAGGAAGGUGGGGAUGACGUCAAGUCAUCAUGGCCCUUACGAGUAGGGCUACACACGUGCUACAAUGGCGCAUACAAAGAGAAGCGACCUCGCGAGAGCAAGCGGACCUCAUAAAGUGCGUCGUAGUCCGGAUUGGAGUCUGCAACUCGACUCCAUGAAGUCGGAAUCGCUAGUAAUCGUGGAUCAGAAUGCCACGGUGAAUACGUUCCCGGGCCUUGUACACACCGCCCGUCACACCAUGGGAGUGGGUUGCAAAAGAAGUAGGUAGCUUAACCUUCGGGAGGGCGCUUACCACUUUGUGAUUCAUGACUGGGGUGAAGUCGUAACAAGGUAAGCGUAGUGCU
Molecule: ribosomal RNA, 516 nt
Filed under: uncultured bacterium
Lineage: Bacteria
Description: bacterial SSU rRNA
Rfam family: Bacterial small subunit ribosomal RNA
Source: RNAcentral